AGCGAGACUAGAGUCACAUCUCGAUGUCCUUCGUUGUCCUGGUGUGCUAUAGUCUUCGCAGAGCAAAUGUUCUCUGCUUAUUCAUUGGCUGCUGCAUUCCAUUGCUUAGCCAAUCACCAGCUCAGAAACAUAC
Electrophorus electricus (electric eel) is the source of this 133-nucleotide small nucleolar RNA. The record is from Ensembl. Lineage: Eukaryota; Metazoa; Chordata; Actinopteri; Gymnotiformes; Gymnotidae.